AGGCAAGGCAAAGGCGGCGGAGUGAACCUCGGAGGAGUAGUACCUUAGGUCUAUAGAAUCGAUUUCGGACUUUCCAAGCUUGGGAGUAGCGAAGUCCUGGUUUUUGUUCAGGGAGCCCAUGACGAAGCCAAUGUGGCCGCAGGGAUAGGACGGAACGGAGGUGACGGCAUAGGCCACCUUAGCAAAGUGCUCCUUGCAGCCGGACAUGGUCUUCUUGAUGUAGUCCAGGUCCAGCCAGAAGCUACCGCCCUGGGAGCACACGAUUCCGUCAUCCUUCAGCGCGUGUUUCAUUAGCUCGUAGUAGCUUUCCUGAAACAGGCUCACUGCCGGACCAAUGGGAUCCGAGCUGUCGGUGAUGAUGACAUCAAAUUCGUUCUUGUGUUUCUUCAUAUAGUCGAAUCCAUCGCCAAUGGUAAGCUUCAACUUCUCGUUGGCGAAACCACAGGCCAUCGCUGGGAGAUAUUGCUUGGACAGCUCGACGACACGGUCGUCGAUUUCCACCUGAUGCACUUCCUCGACCAGUGGAUGCUUUACCACCUCGCGAGCAACGCCGCCAUCGCCACCGCCCACGAUCAGGACCUUUUUGGGAUUGGGAUGGGCGCAGAGCGGCAGGAAAGAUAUCAUCUCCUGGUACGAGAACUCAUCCCUGGCCGUGCACUGAAUGAUUCCGUCCAGAAUUAGGCACCGUCCAUAGGUUUCGCUGUAAUAGAAUUAUCGAAUUAUUGAUUUUUUCAGCGGCGCAAGUGUACCCAAUGUUCGACUGGAGGAACUCAAACCUGAAAGACGAGCUGACUUGCUAUCAGUAUUCUGUCUGUCGUUUUUGGCCCUAGAUGACUCCAUCGAUAAGGCUGUUGGUGCAGAUCAAGAAUAAACACACGAAAACCAAAGGGUCCGAAAAUGCUGGCUGGGCAAUUUGUGUUUGAACAACCAGUGGAAAAUUUUCGAUUUCUACAAUCUAUGAUUUAGGGACCUUCAAUGUAGGAUACAUAUGGGAUUAGGCUAUUGUAGGUUAGUCCUUAAAAUCUCAACAGCUUAAGCUGUU
Molecule: non-coding RNA, 1042 nt
Organism: Drosophila melanogaster (fruit fly)
Lineage: Eukaryota; Metazoa; Arthropoda; Insecta; Diptera; Drosophilidae
Source: Ensembl